This 515-nucleotide long non-coding RNA is filed under the name Canis lupus familiaris (dog). RNAcentral's name for it is "lncRNA (ENSCAFG00000056664.1)". The record is from RNAcentral. Lineage: Eukaryota; Metazoa; Chordata; Mammalia; Carnivora; Canidae.
GCUGAGCUAGGACAAGAAGAUUGCUGACCUGGAAAUGUGGGAGAUGAUGUUGACACCUUUAAUAACAAGGAUGUCAAUGAUUUGACUGAUUGGUGCCCUCUGGUGGUAAAGAAAACGGGACACACGCCUUCAGUCUGUAUGGCAUCACCUGGUGCUCUUCAAGAGAGGGGUCUCUUGAAGAAUUCUUUCUUCCAAAGAGAAAUGAUAUGGAAAUCUUGAAAGAUAAAUGAGAGGAUUUCAGAAGUUUAUUUAUUAGGGAGGGAAGAGGUAUAAAGAAACUUCAGUUAUCUGAUACAAGCUCAGUAGGGGCAGGUCUCUGUCACUAUCAGACACAAGGAGGGAUGAAUUGCAAGAGGAGGAUUUUCAUGAUGGAGAGAAAAGAAGAUACCCUCUUUGGCAUCCAAGUACACUCAGCUAGUAUUUUCCAUCAUUUUGGAACCUAAUUUUCCCAUGAGACUUCCUAAAGGAAAGAAUCAGAAUCAACAUUUCAUGAAUAAAAUGCCAGAACUACAAAA